AGGGAGCAGACGCGCCGGCAGCCAACGGGGCGACGACGGGGCCGGACCGGUGAGCGCGCGCGAAAAGCACACCGCGAACACACGAUAUUGCACAACAAACGACAAUGUUAUAAUGCACAGAGGGACGCGUCCCCCGUCCGGUCGAAGGACUUGGAAGAGACAGAAGAAAAAAAAAAAAAAAUAAAAAACCGAAAACCGAAAACCGAUCGGAGUAAUAGUGUUUACAAAAUGGUGAUUGAUGAUGUCGUGUUUGAAACGAACCGCGCGCGCAGGCGCUCCGGACGAUCGGGACGCGGACGUGCGUGUGCGUAGUAUUUUACGUGCGCGCGCGUGUAGGUAACACACACUUGCACAACACUACCGGCGGCGGUGCCGAACGCGUAUGUUCGACGGCGACGUUCGUAAUAUUAAUAUUGUGUGCGUACCGACCGCGUACGUACGCGCGCGCGCGCGCGCGCGUGCCCGUUGUACAUUAGCCGGCCGCCGCGUUACGACCGGAGUAGUGGGCCUCCCACCGACAACGCGUGGCCGCAGCUGCUCGGG
Molecule: non-coding RNA, 543 nt
Organism: Cinara cedri
Lineage: Eukaryota; Metazoa; Arthropoda; Insecta; Hemiptera; Aphididae
Source: the annotation of a GenBank genome assembly